GUGGGGAAUAUUGCACAAUGGGCGAAAGCCUGAUGCAGCAACGCCGCGUGCGGGAUGACGGCCUUCGGGUUGUAAACCGCUUUCAGCAGGGACGAAGCGUGAGUGACGGUACCUGCAGAAGAAGCACCGGCUAACUACGUGCCAGCAGCCGCGGUGAUACGUAGGGUGCGAGCGUUGUCCGGAUUUAUUGGGCGUAAAGAGCUUGUAGGCGGUUGGUUGCGUCGAAAGUGCAAACUCAGGGCUUAACUCUGAGCCUGCUUUCGAUACGGGCUGGCUGGAGGAAGGUAGGGGAGAAUGGAAUUCCCGGUGGAGCGGUGGAAUGCGCAGAUAUCGGGAGGAACACCAGUGGCGAAGGCGGUUCUCUGGACCUUUCCUGACGCUGAGAAGCGAAAGCGUGGGGAGCAAACAGGCUUAGAUACCCCGGUAGUCC
Molecule: ribosomal RNA, 430 nt
Filed under: uncultured bacterium
Lineage: Bacteria
Description: partial 16S ribosomal RNA
Rfam family: Bacterial small subunit ribosomal RNA
Source: RNAcentral